This is a long non-coding RNA of Malus domestica (apple), 627 nucleotides long. RefSeq lists it as uncharacterized. The record is from RefSeq and is a predicted model, not a curated record. Lineage: Eukaryota; Viridiplantae; Streptophyta; Magnoliopsida; Rosales; Rosaceae.
GAACCUUUAAAUUCCUACCAUGGCCUGUUGUAAUAUUCUGGCAUAUUUAUGGGAAUUAGGUUGGAGAUUUGGGUUAUGCUUCAGAACUUGGAAAUUAUGCAGAGUAUAGUGGAGCUCCAAAUGAGGAAGAGGUGUUGCAAUAUGCAAGAGUUGUGGUCGAUUGUGCAACAGCUGAUCCAGAUGGUCGUAAAAGAGCUCUAAUAAUUGGAGGUGGUAUAGCUAAUUUCACAGACGUAGCUGCUACAUUCAGUGGAAUUAUUAGGGCCCUAAGGGAGAAGGAAUCCAAGCUAAAAGCGGCAAGAAUGCAUAUAUUUGUGAGAAGGGGCGGUCCAAAUUAUCAAACUGGUUUGGCAAAGAUGCGUGCUUUGGGGGAAGAACUCGGAGUUCCUCUUGAGGUUUAUGGCCCUGAGGCAACAAUGACCGGAAUUUGCAAGCAAGCAAUUGAGUGCAUCGUGGAUGAAGCUUAAGAGUUUCUUGGUUCUUUGUAUUAUUUUUCAACCCUCGAAGUGUGUGUUAUGAUUUGGCCAAAAAGGCAAAAAGUGUGAAUUGAGUUUAUCCUGGCAAGAUGAGCCGCAUAAUUUCUUCAGUUUUCCAAUCUUUUCAACUAUUGUGACUUAUUUGUGAUGA